Small nuclear RNA from Papaver somniferum (opium poppy), 149 nucleotides. RefSeq annotates it as U4 spliceosomal RNA. The record is from RefSeq and is a predicted model, not a curated record. Lineage: Eukaryota; Viridiplantae; Streptophyta; Magnoliopsida; Ranunculales; Papaveraceae. The transcript has a single exon.
AUCUUUGCGCCUGGGAAAUGACGCUGCUAAUGACGUACUACGUGUCAGUUGCCAGUUAAAAGCUAUUUCCAAAUUCCUGCCUCGACCUUAGAUCUCCCAAGCCAGCUGGAAAUUUCUGGAAUGGCUCUUUCUAAUCAAGGGUUAAAUCC